RNAcentral lists this ribosomal RNA (253 nucleotides) under uncultured bacterium. RNAcentral describes it as "partial 16S ribosomal RNA". It matches the Rfam family "Bacterial small subunit ribosomal RNA", at positions 524 to 776 of the family's 1533-position model. The record is from RNAcentral.
GACGUAGGGCGCGAGCGUUGUCCGGAUUUAUUGGGCGUAAAGAGCUCGUAGGCGGCUUGUCGCGUCGACUGUGAAAUCCCGCGGCUCAACUGCGGGUCUGCAGUCGAUACGGGCAGGCUAGAGUUCGGUAGGGGAGACUGGAAUUCCUGGUGUAGCGGUGAAAUGCGCAGAUAUCAGGAGGAACACCGAUGGCGAAGGCAGGUCUCUGGGCCGAUACUGACGCUGAGGAGCGAAAGCAUGGGGAGCGAACAGG